Molecule: ribosomal RNA, 502 nt
Filed under: uncultured bacterium
Lineage: Bacteria
Description: bacterial SSU rRNA
Rfam family: Bacterial small subunit ribosomal RNA
Source: RNAcentral
GAUGAACGCUAGCGACAGGCCUAACACAUGCAAGUCGAGGGGCAGCACAAAGUAGCAAUACUGGGUGGCGACCGGCGCACGGGUGAGUAACACGUAUGCAACCUGCCUGUAAGAGGGGGAUAACCCGUUGAAAGACGGACUAAUACCGCAUAAAACUGUAAAUUCGCAUGGAUUAACAGUUAAACAUUUAUGGCUUACAGAUGGGCAUGCGCAUGAUUAGCUAGUUGGUGAGGUAACGGCUCACCAAGGCAACGAUCAUUAGGGGUUCUGAGAGGAAGGUCCCCCACACUGGUACUGAGACACGGACCAGACUCCUACGGGAGGCAGCAGUGAGGAAUAUUGGUCAAUGGGCGCGAGCCUGAACCAGCCAAGUCGCGUGAAGGAUGAAGGUUUUAUGAAUUGUAAACUUCUUUUGCAGGGGAAUAAAGUGCGGUACGUGUACCGUUUUGUAUGUACUCUGCGAAUAAGGAUCGGCUAACUCCGUGCCAGCAGCCGCGGUAAA